UGAUAAACCAUGAAAGAGAAAGUAAAUAAAAAUCCAACAUUUUAGAGAAAAAAUCCUUGGCUGAAAGAUUUUAUGCUGGAAUUUAUUGAAGUUCACUCUGGAGUUUUAGCUGUGAAACCAUUUGUAAUGUUUAGCAGCUAACGUUAAUUGCGUUAAAAUUUUGAGUGAAUACAAAUUAGUAUUAAUUUAAGGUGGUACCGCGGAAUUAUUUCGUCCUUUUU
This 221-nucleotide non-coding RNA is filed under the name Acetobacterium bakii. RNAcentral describes it as "T-box sequence". It matches the Rfam family "T-box leader". From Rfam's summary of the family: Uncharged tRNA acts as the effector for transcription antitermination of genes in the T-box leader family. T-boxes are found upstream of many aminoacyl-tRNA synthetase genes and some amino acid biosynthetic genes usually in Gram-positive bacteria. The record is from RNAcentral. Lineage: Bacteria; Bacillati; Bacillota; Clostridia; Eubacteriales; Eubacteriaceae.